Molecule: long non-coding RNA, 1121 nt
Filed under: Sus scrofa (pig)
Lineage: Eukaryota; Metazoa; Chordata; Mammalia; Artiodactyla; Suidae
Description: lncRNA (ENSSSCG00060002105.1)
Source: RNAcentral
AUGAGGAAGGGUAAGGGCGUGGCGGGGCACAGUCUUUGUCUUCCUUGCGUGUUGCUGGUGCGGCCGGUGGGGAGGCCGUCGAGCCGAGGUCCGCCCGUCGCCGUUGGCCCUCGCGCCCUUCACUUUGUCCCAGAGCCACCGUGUCUGCGGAGAUGCUCGCCGCUGUGGGCGAGGGUGGUGCCAGACGCAGGGAAAGGCCAGGGGACACGCACAACGAGACAGCAUCUGAACUUGGCAAAGUACGAAAGCUCCCCGCUUGCGAACUCUCUGGACCCCAGACUAGAGAACGCGAUGUCCCGAGCUGAGUCUCUGUGCCUAGAAUUGGGGGGCAGGGGGCGCACGGGCCUCGAAGGGCUACCAAGCUCCCGGCAGACCCGCCUCAGCCUGGGGCGCCCGCAACAGCGCCUCGGUCCCCCUGAGGCCGAGCAGAGGCUUCUUCACGCUCCUCCUGGUCCUUGGAGGAUCCGUUCAGCGCUCCAGGCGAGGGUGCGCCAGAAAGAGCAGCCUGGACGUUCCAAACCCUUCGAAGCAUCGCAGCGCUGUCAAGGCACCAACAGGUAAACCUCAGGCCAGAGAAGCCACAGGGGUUUCCAGCCACAGCGGCCAAGCUGAGCUCCAGCGUUUCAAGCAACCCCUUCAAGAAAGAGCCGACUUGGGGGUCCCCAUGCCGCUCACUCAGAGAACCAGCCCCUCUCGUCAAUUCCUUCUCCCAGCUGCGUGGGCAUUUGAUACCAGGUCCCCGAAGGGUGAGCCCUUGCACAGAGACCUCUCCGCCGUCCGCACCCCCGGACGAGGGCACGAUUUCAGAACACCUGCUCUCCUUGCCGUCACUUCUCCACGUGACUCCCAGCCCACGAGCCACCUCUGCAAAGGACCGAGGCCAGCAAACCUCUUCCUGAUGUACAACCAGUGGGACUCAGCUGCCUCCUGGACCGAUUCACUUCUCACAAAAUCAUCCUGACAGCCUCGCUUGCUGACCUCGGGGAACCCAGACUGAACCCGUUGCCUUGCCUUUGGGACCAGGAUGGGCGUUGUUUAAAGAUGGGCCCUGUAUCUCACUCCAGAUCAGAAUGUUUUCCUUUUAUAGCAUUUUAACAGCUUUUCCCAGAAAACAUCAGCCU